Molecule: ribosomal RNA, 497 nt
Filed under: uncultured bacterium
Lineage: Bacteria
Description: bacterial SSU rRNA
Rfam family: Bacterial small subunit ribosomal RNA
Source: RNAcentral
ACUCAAAGGAAUUGACGGGGGCCCGCACAAGCAGAGGAGCAUGUGGCUUAAUUCGAUGCAACGCGAAGAACCUUACCCGGGUUUGACAUGCAGCUGCACGGCCGGUGAAAGCCGGCCUCCUUCGAGGGUGCUGCACAGGUGCUGCAUGGCUGUCGUCAGUUCGUGCCGUGAGGUGUUUGGUUAAGUCCAGCAACGAACGCAACCCCUGUGUCCAGUUGCCAGCGCGUAAUGGCGGGAACUCUGGACAGACUGCCCGUUCACACGGGAGGAAGGUGGGGAUGACGUCAAGUCAGUAUGGCCCUUACGUCCGGGGCUGCACACGUGCUACAAUGGCCGGCACAAAGGGAAGCGAAGCCGCGAGGCCGAGCCAAUCCCCAGAACCGGCCCCAGUUCAGAUUGGGGUCUGCAACCCGACCCCAUGAAGUCGGAUUUGCUAGUAACGGCGCAUCAGCUACGGCGCCGUGAAUACGUUCCCGGGCCUUGCACACACCGCCCGU